RNAcentral lists this ribosomal RNA (532 nucleotides) under uncultured SAR86 cluster bacterium. RNAcentral describes it as "bacterial SSU rRNA". It matches the Rfam family "Bacterial small subunit ribosomal RNA", at positions 1 to 527 of the family's 1533-position model. The record is from RNAcentral. Lineage: Bacteria; Pseudomonadati; Pseudomonadota; Gammaproteobacteria.
UAGGGGUUCGGAUUUAUGGGCUUCAGAUUGAACGCUGGGCGGUAGGGCUUAACACAUGCAAAGUUCGUGCGGAAAAAGUAUUUUUGGGAUAUGAGUAGAGCGGCGAACGGGUGAGUAACGCGUAGGAAUGUACCUAGUAGAAGAAGAUAGCCCGAGGAAACUCGGAUUAAUACCGUAUACCUCCUUCGAGAGAAAGAGGGCCUCUCUUUGAAGCUUUCGCUACUAGAUCAGCCUGCGUAAGAUUAGCUUGUUGGUGAGGUAAUGGCUCACCAAGGCUACGAUCUUUAGCUGGUCUGAGAGGACGAUCAGCCACAUUGGGACUGAGACACGGCCCAGACUCCUACGGGAGGCAGCGGUAAAGAAUAUUGGACGAUGGGCGCAAGCCUGAUCCAGCCGUACCGCGUGUGUGAAGAAGGCCUUCGGGUUGUAAGCACUUUAAGCGGAAGAAAAAAAUAUAGGUUAAUACCCUAGUUCUUGAUGUUACCUCAGAAUAAGCACCGGCUAAUUCCGUGCCAGCCGCCGCGGUAAUACA